Molecule: ribosomal RNA, 492 nt
Filed under: uncultured bacterium
Lineage: Bacteria
Description: partial 16S ribosomal RNA
Rfam family: Bacterial small subunit ribosomal RNA
Source: RNAcentral
AGUGAACGCUGGCGGUAGGCCUAACACAUGCAAGUCGAACGGCAGCACAGUAAGAGCUUGCUCUUACGGGUGGCGAGUGGCGGACGGGUGAGGAAUACAUCGGAAUCUACUUUUUCGUGGGGGAUAACGUAGGGAAACUUACGCUAAUACCGCAUACGACCUACGGGUGAAAGCAGGGGAUCUUCGGACCUUGCGCGAUUGAAUGAGCCGAUGUCGGAUUAGCUAGUUGGCGGGGUAAAGGCCCACCAAGGCGACGAUCCGUAGCUGGUCUGAGAGGAUGAUCGGCCACACUGGAACUGAGACACGGUCCAGACUCCUACGGGAGGCAGCAGUGGGGAAUAUGCGACAAUGGGCGAAAGCCUGAUGCAGCAAUACCGCGUGAGUGAAGAAGGCCUUCGGAUUGUAAAGCCCUGUUGUUGGGAAAGAAAAGCAGCAGGAUAAUACCCCGCUGUUCUGACGGUACCCAAAGAAUAAGCAACGGCUAACUACGUG